This 103-nucleotide non-coding RNA is filed under the name Brevibacterium casei. Its description in RNAcentral is "TPP sequence". It matches the Rfam family "TPP riboswitch aptamer (THI element)". From Rfam's summary of the family: Vitamin B(1) in its active form thiamin pyrophosphate (TPP) is an essential coenzyme that is synthesised by coupling of pyrimidine and thiazole moieties in bacteria. RNAcentral also lists the same sequence under 1 other name. Lineage: Bacteria; Bacillati; Actinomycetota; Actinomycetes; Micrococcales; Brevibacteriaceae. The record is from RNAcentral.
AGAGGAGUUCGCGGGAGCCUCGCUGGGAGGCUGAGAGGGCUUCGUGCCGACCGCCGCACCUGAUGCGGGUCAUGCCGCCGGAGGGAGAAUACAGUGCACGUCA